UACCUGGUUGAUCCUGCCAGUAGUCAUAUGCUUGUCUCAAAGAUUAAGCCAUGCAUGUCUAAGUAUAAGCACUUGUACUGUGAAACUGCGAAUGGCUCAUUAAAUCAGUUAUCGUUUAUUUGAUUGUACUUUACUACAUGGAUACCUGUGGUAAUUCUAGAGCUAAUACAUGCGAAAAAUCCCGACUUCUGGAAGGGAUGUAUUUAUUAGAUUAAAAACCAAUGCGGAUCUUCGGGUCCGUUUUCUCGGUGAUUCAUGAUAACUUUUCGAAUCGCAUGGCCUAGCGCCGGCGAUAUUUCAUUCAAAUUUCUGCCCUAUCAACUGUCGAUGGUAAGGUAGUGGCUUACCAUGGUUAUAACGGGUGACGGAGAAUUAGGGUUCGAUUCCGGAGAGGGAGCCUGAGAAACGGCUACCACAUCUAAGGAAGGCAGCAGGCUCGAAAAUUACCCAAUCCCAACUCGGGGAGGUAGUGACAAGAAAUAACGAUACGGGGUCUUAAUAGGUCUCGCAAUUGGAAUGAGUACAAUUUAAAUCCUUUAACGAGGAUCAAUUGGAGGGCAAGUCUGGUGCCAGCAGCCGCGGUAAUUCCAGCUCCAAUAGC
This 601-nucleotide ribosomal RNA is filed under the name uncultured marine eukaryote. RNAcentral describes it as "SSU rRNA". It matches the Rfam family "Eukaryotic small subunit ribosomal RNA", at positions 1 to 598 of the family's 1831-position model. The record is from RNAcentral.